Molecule: transfer RNA, 85 nt
Filed under: Felis catus (domestic cat)
Lineage: Eukaryota; Metazoa; Chordata; Mammalia; Carnivora; Felidae
Rfam family: tRNA
About the family: Transfer RNA (tRNA) molecules are approximately 80 nucleotides in length.
Source: Rfam by way of RNAcentral
GCCUGGGUGGCUUAAACGGUUAAGCAUCAGACUUCAGCUCAGGUCAUGAUCUCACAUUUUGUGGGUUCGAGUCCCAUAUCAAGCU